Molecule: long non-coding RNA, 892 nt
Organism: Misgurnus anguillicaudatus (oriental weatherfish)
Lineage: Eukaryota; Metazoa; Chordata; Actinopteri; Cypriniformes; Cobitidae
Source: RefSeq, a predicted model, not a curated record
UGAGCGCGUGUCCUUGCUGGCUGUCAUGGGUUUCCUCAGAUUCAUCCAUAACCCAAAUAAACGCUAAUCAGAUGAUGUUAAUGGAUAUGUUAACCAUAACACAGUGGGAGAAUGUGUUUGUGUGCUCUAAUGGACGGACCGGGCGUCUGUUUUAGCACUACAGCGCGAACCCGGAGAACAAUAAGUUACAGAGAACUGAUGGAUGGAUCAACAAAAAAAUAAUGAAAAUAUAAUUGCUUAAUAUUUGUCAGUACAUAAUUAUAGACUGUAAAUAAUAGUACAUAAUCUACGAAUGUCAGUCAAUGGUAAUGUUGUUUUAUUAAAUCAAUACGUAAACAAGACGCCAUAUUGUCCUUGUGAUGUCAUUCGCAAUGGUUUCUGGGAUAUUUGACAAUUACUGAAACGGCUCUAAACAACUAUCCACAUCUACAUAAAGCAGAACAUCUCUCCUCCAUUAUUAAACAUCUGAACCCUUGUGAGUCUCAAUCUGCAUCAUUCAUCAGACUGACUGACGCCAGCGCUUGACAUCUCUAAGGCAGAAAAUUCAUCUUGUUUGUAAAAUCACAUCUAGAGUCAGUCAAUGACGAUCUGCUGGGAUAUUUCCUGAAUGUACGGAGCUGUCAGUCAUCUUUAUACCUGACUCCUGCUUGUAAAGAGAUUUUUGACUCAUUAUGAAUGUGAUUAAACUGAGCUGUAAAACACAGACGAGAUGUAAAACUAUCUGGACUCAUCCGAGUUUCUCUCACGCUGUUUAAGAUUCAUUAUGCAUGAAGAUGAUAAAUGACAAACUUUGGAUUAAAUCAGACACUAUUGCGCCGUUAAUUACCAUCGUUUAAAAAGAAAAUCACGCGGCCAAAUGAACCUCAUGUGUUUAUAUUCAUAAGAAUCUCAG